Molecule: ribosomal RNA, 451 nt
Filed under: uncultured bacterium
Lineage: Bacteria
Description: bacterial SSU rRNA
Rfam family: Bacterial small subunit ribosomal RNA
Source: RNAcentral
GAGUUUGAUCAUGGCUCAGAAUGAACGCUGGCGGCGUGCUUAACACAUGCAAGUCGAGCGAGGCCAGGGGGGCAACUCCCUGAGUCGAGCGGCGGACGGGUGAGUAACACGUGGGUAACCUACCCGGAAGUGGGGAAUACCUCGGGGAAACUCGAGCUAAUACCGCAUAACAUCUUUGGGACGAAAGUUCCGACGAUCAAAGCGGGGUCGCAAGAUCUCGCGCUACCGGAUGGGCCCGCGCCCGAUUAGCUAGUUGGUGAGGUAACGGCUCACCAAGGCGACGAUCGGUAACCGGCCUGAGAGGGCGAUCGGUCACACCGGAACUGAGACACGGUCCGGACUCCUACGGGAGGCAGCAGUGGGGAAUCUUGCGCAAUGGGCGAGAGCCUGACGCAGCAACGCCGCGUGGAGGAUGAAGGCCCUUGGGUUGUAAACUCCUGUCGGCUGGGAA